RNAcentral lists this long non-coding RNA (2654 nucleotides) under Homo sapiens (human). Its description in RNAcentral is "long non-coding RNA NONHSAT151514.1". The record is from RNAcentral. Lineage: Eukaryota; Metazoa; Chordata; Mammalia; Primates; Hominidae.
AACUGACCCCAGUUCUGGCCCCCGCUAGAGCAGAGGUUCGCGCUGGUGGAGCACCCCAGCUUGCAGGUUCAGCGUGGGUGUCUCUCCCGGGCACAUCGAGCUGUCUAGAGGAACCCUCUUCCCCUGGCUUCACGGCCCAGAGGACGCACGGCUCUCUCCCCUCGAGAGCGUGUUUCGUCGCCCGCGCGGGGAACGCAAAGUGCUAGGGUAGUCACGGCCACUUCACGCCGAGGGACAUCUCAUCUCGCCCUCCAGGUCGUGAGCGCACCCAUUCCGCUCACUGAGGCCGAAAGCUUCGGACCUCCGUGGGCCCUGGGGCAAGUACCAGCACCUCAGCCUAGUCGGUGCAGGUGAUAGUUAUGAAGCUAAGUCCUAGGCCAGGAACAAGGCAGCCAGUCCAGCCAGCAUAGUUGACCCCUCUAUGGACUGGGGCCAGUGCAGCCACAGCAUUCCAGUGCUCAGCCCCUCAGCUGGGAGAUCAGCGACUGCUGCCACGUGCCCAGAAAUGGCUCGUCCUUUCACUACAGCGGAAUGCAAUGAGGGUGGGUGAGAAGAUGAUGGGUCGGUUAUUUCAUUCCUUUUCUUUUUACAACUUCACUUUCAGAGACUUCAGCGUUCCAUGUCUGCUGUGCUGUGGAACCCAGAGUGCUCUUGCCUGGAUGGCUGAGAAUCCCUUGGACCCUGGAAGCACCUACUCCAUGAUGGCCCGGUAUAGUGCAGGCUCAAUAUAAUCUUCCCGGUAUCUUGGCAGGAGGACCAAACUGGAGACAGUCCUGGCUCUGAGGAAACAGGAAGGAAGGAGGGUGAAAGGAACGUCCACCUGCACACAAAGGUAACUGUCCUCUACUCAGGGAAGAGUGAACCAGGACAAAGUAACUGUUUUAGAGAGCAAGGCAGCUCUCUGGGCUGAAAAAUGUUAACAGUUAAAGACCUUGCUAAGUCAAAGUCUGCCCCUAUCUCUGCCCUCUCCUGCUUCUAGGUGACCAAAAAAAAAAAAAAAGGAAAGAUGAAAAAGAGUCACCUACCAUGGGACCUGGCAAAGUACUUCAGAACUUUUAUUCCUUCCAGAAGCAGGUAAGUACCCCAAGUCCUCAUCGUAUUCCCAGCAUAGGGCUUGGUAUACGGGGGGAUAUUUCAUUCAGCAUAUUGGCUGAAUGAAAGGUCUGAUAGGUAUACCUGGGAGAAGGUCCUUAGGGACAUGGCUUAAAAAAUGAGAGAGGGGCAGGGCAGUGAGUCUAAAAGGAUGUGGAUGCUCACAUCUGCUCUUACAAUCAUGCUACAGUUCAUUUAUUGAGUGGAAACAGUUCCCUACUUAUUGACAAUUCAUUUACUGAAUAGGUAAUCAGUAAAUACAUUUUGUAUCAAUCUAACAAUUAGGCAUAAACUACAGCCUCCUACACCCAAUAUCUGAGGUGUUCUAAGAUUUAACUACUCAAAUGUUUGAUAUUUGAUAAAUUGUUUAAGUUCUCUGCAAUUCAGUUCCACCUCCUAUAACAGCACUUCUGAAAAUGUGGUCUGUGAACCUCUGAGGGGUUCCUGAGACACUGUCAGGGAGCAAGUGAGACAUGGCUAUUUUUAUAAUAUUAAACUAUUAGCCUUUGUCACUGUGUUGUCAUUUACCUAGGAUAGGUAGAUUCCACACUGCAACUAACUUUUAAGAACCUGCCAGGAGCGUGUAUCACAAUAGAUUGAAUCAAGAAGUGACAUUAAGGCCAGCGCGGUGGCUCACGCCUGUAAUCCCACCACUUUGGGAGGCCGAGGCGGGCGGAUCACGAGAUCAGGAGAUCAAGACCAUCCUGGCUAACAUGGUGAAACCCCAUGUCUACUAAAAAUACAAAAAAUUAGCCGGGCAUGGUGGCGGGCGCCUGUAGUCCCAGCUACUCGGGAGGCUGAGGCAGGAGAAUGGCGUGAACCUGGGAGGUGAAGCCUGCAGUGAGCCAAGAUCAUGCCACCGUACUCCCGUACUCCAGCCGGUCUGACCCAAGCCCCACUUACUCUGAGAGGUCUAUUCAACGGACAUCCUUAAGAAUUAAAGUAAGUUUUGGACAUUUUGGGAAACCAGCAUGCAUCAAGAGGAGAAGAACGAAAAUGGUGACAACUCUUAAAACCAUGCUACGUGAGAAACAAGAAUGUCAGGAAGACUCAGCAAGAGGACAGCAUGAACUGUAGUGAACAGUAGUCAACAGUAGGAUGGAUGAAAUGGCCCGGGGCCUCUGCGAAGGAAGAAUUGCUAGGUGGCAACUGGGAGUUAAAGAGACUCGCUUUCCAAAGUUUGUACCUUUCUGGCUGGAACUUUCUCACAAACACAUCCAUGGAGAUCUUCACCAUGUCCUUUCUACAGGAGCACUGUCAGCAGGAACCAGAAGAGCACCAGAAAGAAAUCAAGCAGACUUACCAGCACAGCUUGCUUGCCGUACUCAAUCCACCGACGGGUAGCAAAAUUGGUAGACUCCGCACAGUUAAAACCAUGGUUAAAGCCGGCAUGGUAACCAUAAGGGAAAGUGAUCAUAAACUCUCCAGCCUCUUGAGUCACCUGAACAAGAGCAGACUUGAAGCAGCUGCUUCAAAUGGCAGAAGUCCACAGAACUGGAAUUCUGAGCUCCACCACAACUUAGCUGAGUAACAAAGGGUAAGUCAUAAAACCCCUGGGGUCC